This is a non-coding RNA of Phascolarctos cinereus (koala), 601 nucleotides long. The record is from RefSeq and is a predicted model, not a curated record. NCBI's taxonomy places the organism in Eukaryota, Metazoa, Chordata, Mammalia, Diprotodontia, Phascolarctidae.
CUCCCCUACUCAUGCUCUGCUGGGAGCACAUAGACAACACAGAACCAUUUCCUGUAGUGGAACCGGCAGCAGGAGAAACAGCUGGUGUUUUCUCAGCUGUAGUUCCUAUUACCCAGAAACAAAACUGGUCACAGGACACCCAGGAAAAUCGAGCAGGUUUAAAAGAAACCCCAUUCCCCCAGGGGCAAAGCAAGGGGGGUUGACUAAAGAGGAAGCCAUACCUGAAGGUAAGAGUUGGAAUGAGUGGUGCCAGCCACACCGGAGUAGGGGCCACCCAAGAGGAAGUUGGUCACCUGCUAACCAACCUUUCACCUUAUACCACAGACACUGCUAGAAGCAUGUGAACCUGCUAUUAAAAAUGGACUUGCUAUCUUUUCCAAUUGAAUGGAAACUUCUUGAGGACAGGUACAGUGUCUAGAGGAGUCUGUUAAAAUGGAAGGUAUGGUCAUCUACUGAGAGAGGUAGCUGAGGAGAGCUCAAGUCUCAAGCAUCAUCUGCUUCUGCUUCUUCUCCUACUCACCUGAUGCUGAAUGGAGCUGGAAGAAGUCAUGGAACCAUGAUGGCUGGAUUUAUUAUAAACAUAUGUUACCAAAUUUUAAUU